Long non-coding RNA from Betta splendens (Siamese fighting fish), 373 nucleotides. RefSeq lists it as uncharacterized. The transcript has 3 exons. The record is from RefSeq and is a predicted model, not a curated record. Lineage: Eukaryota; Metazoa; Chordata; Actinopteri; Anabantiformes; Osphronemidae.
ACACACACACACACACACACACACACACACACACACUGGCAGGACUCAGCAUCGGGACAGAGGCAGAUGUUCCAGAGCUCAGGACAACGUGCAUUAAGGAGCUGCUUCUCUUAAACAUACUGAUCAAAAUAUUAACGCUCUGGGUCCCUGGCAGCAGCGUGUUCUGUCAGAAACCAUCACAGAAGACUUCAGCAGCUUCAUCAGUUGUCAUGUGCAAAGUCCCCUUAAAAACUGCAGCUACAGAAGGAAGGUUUAACUGCUGUCAUCUACCGCCACACGGCCUCAGCUCGCUGUGGAGCGAGUGCUUGGAACAGAUGUGAAGCCUAAAGACUGAUUCAAGAAUCUGUUGUGAACAAUCAUCCUAACAUUAAAG